AGCGAACGCUGGCGGCAGGCUUAACACAUGCAAGUCGAGCGGGCACUUUCUGCUGUCAUCGGCUGACGGGUGAGUAACGCGUUGGAACGUGCCCUCUUGUUCUGAAUAACUCAUGGAAACUUGAGCUAAUACCGGAUACUCCCUCCUGGUGAAAGGCUUGCGGCCGGGGUAUCGGCGCGCGACUGUUUAGCUAGUUGGUGGGGUAACGGCUCACCAAGGCGACGAUCAGGAGCUGGUCUGAGAGGAUGCUCAGCCACACUGGGACUGAGACACGGCCCAGACUCGGACGCGAAGGAGCGGUGGGGAAUAUUAGAGGAGGAGCGCUAGCCUGAUACAGCCAUGCGGGGUGAGUGAUGAAGGCGUUAGGGUUGUAAAGCUCUUUUAUCCGGGACGAUAAUGACGGUACCGGAGGAAUAAGCACCGGCUAACUUCGUG
Molecule: ribosomal RNA, 435 nt
Filed under: uncultured bacterium
Lineage: Bacteria
Description: partial 16S ribosomal RNA
Rfam family: Bacterial small subunit ribosomal RNA
Source: RNAcentral